Long non-coding RNA from Hemiscyllium ocellatum (epaulette shark), 238 nucleotides. RefSeq lists it as uncharacterized. Lineage: Eukaryota; Metazoa; Chordata; Chondrichthyes; Orectolobiformes; Hemiscylliidae. The transcript has 2 exons. The record is from RefSeq and is a predicted model, not a curated record.
AUGUCCCUCUUGGAGCUGUGUUCCCUGGGAUGGGAAAUUCAACUCGAAGUGGCUGUGGGGUGGGAAUCCCACAUCCUGGGGACUAAUCUGAUGAACCUCCAUUACAAUCCUUCUGUGGCAAUGAUUUGGAGAUGCCAGUGUUGGACUUGGGCGAACAAAGUUAAACAUCACACAACUACCUGAUGAAGGAGCAGCACUCCGAAAGCUAGUGCUUCCAAUUAAACAUGCUGGAUUUUAA